Molecule: transfer RNA, 77 nt
Filed under: Oxalobacteraceae bacterium
Lineage: Bacteria; Pseudomonadati; Pseudomonadota; Betaproteobacteria; Burkholderiales; Oxalobacteraceae
Description: tRNA-Arg
Rfam family: tRNA
About the family: Transfer RNA (tRNA) molecules are approximately 80 nucleotides in length. Their secondary structure includes four short double-helical elements and three loops (D, anti-codon, and T loops).
Source: RNAcentral
GUCUCUGUAGCUCAAUUGGAUAGAGCAGCGACCUUCUAAGUCGCAGGUUGCUGGUUCGAGCCCAGCCAGGGACGCCA